AGCAGCCGCGGUAAUUCCAGCUCCAAUAGCGUAUAUUAAAGUUGUUGCAGUUAAAAAGCUCGUAGUUGAACUUCGGGGUUCACCCAUUGGUCAGGCUUAAUUGUCUGCACUGGUGAGAUGAGUCUCUACCUUCUGAGGAACUUUCAUGCCAUUUAUUUGGUGUGGUUGGAAAUCAGGACUGUUACUUUGAAAAAAUUAGAGUGUUUAAAGCAGGCUAACGUCUGAAUACAUUAGCAUGGAAUAAUGAAAUAGGACGGACUGAUUCUAUUUCGUUGGUUUCUAGGAUCACCGUAAUGAUUAAUAGGGAUAGUUGGGGGCAUUAGUAUUCAAUUGUCAGAGGUGAAAUUCUUGGAUUUAUUGAAGACUAACUACUGCGAAAGCAUUUGCCAAGGAUGUUUUCAUUAAUCAAGAACGAAAGUUAGAGGUUCGAAGGCGAUCAGAUACCGCCCUAGUUCUAACCAUAAACUAUGCCAACUAGCAAUUUGCUUAUGUAUGUUUUAUGACU
This 505-nucleotide ribosomal RNA is filed under the name uncultured Diversispora. RNAcentral describes it as "SSU rRNA". It matches the Rfam family "Eukaryotic small subunit ribosomal RNA", at positions 569 to 1076 of the family's 1831-position model. The record is from RNAcentral. Lineage: Eukaryota; Fungi; Glomeromycota; Glomeromycetes; Diversisporales; Diversisporaceae.